Piscirickettsia sp. is the source of this 74-nucleotide non-coding RNA. NCBI's taxonomy places the organism in Bacteria, Pseudomonadati, Pseudomonadota, Gammaproteobacteria, Thiotrichales, Piscirickettsiaceae. The record is from Rfam.
GGCUAUGUAGCUCAGCUGGUUAGAGCACAGCACUCAUAAUGCUGGGGUCCGCAGUUCAAGUCUGCGCAUAGCCA